CUCCUUUCUUGCAAUGGUGACCUCCUUAAGCACUCUCCCUCAUCCCUACUUCCCAAGUGCUUCCUCAUUCUCCUUGGCCUCCACUAGGGACCAAGGUCCCAUCAGGCUGUGCCCAGACAUCAGGGGCACCUGGUAUGGGGUGCUUAUAAGGUGCUUUAGGAGCCCAUGUACCAAACAAUAGGGUGAGGCAUGUCUCUGUGCCUCAGCGGUGAUACAGAAAGGUCUUUCAGAUCCCUGGAACAGGUCAGUGGCCACAAAACCAGCUGUCACCCUAGGAGAGGAUACAGUCAUCUGAUACCAAUGAAGACUAAGAAAGUAUUUGUCUCUAAACCAAUUAUUUUUUUAAAUGGAGUCUUGCUUUGUCACCUAGGCUGGAGUGCAGUGGUACAAUCUCAGCUCACUGCAACCUCUGCCUCCUGGGUUCAAGCAAUUCUCCUAUCUCAGCCUCCUGAGUAGCUGGGACUACAGGUGCCCACCACCAUGCCUGGCUAACUUUUGUAUUUUUAGUAGAAACAGGGUUUCGCCAUGUUGACCAGGCUGUUCUCGAACUUCUGACCUCAAGUGAUCUGCCCACCUUGGCCUUCUAAAG
RNAcentral lists this long non-coding RNA (589 nucleotides) under Homo sapiens (human). RNAcentral describes it as "HSALNT0015675". The record is from RNAcentral. Lineage: Eukaryota; Metazoa; Chordata; Mammalia; Primates; Hominidae.